CCCCCAAGAUAUGAACAUAAAUAAAAUAAAAAUAAAUAAACCAAAAAUAAAAGAAUUUAGAGAAGUUAAGAAAUAUCCACACACAAAUAAAAAUAGAUCCAUAGUUACGAUAGAUCUAUUAAAGUUAUCCGCACCCCCUAUAAUUGGUAUCAGAGCUCAUGUCAUUUAAAGUCACGGAAGUAGUAUAUAUUUGGAGUUAUUUGAUAAAUUUAAAGCAACUAUUUUAGAAU
RNAcentral lists this long non-coding RNA (230 nucleotides) under Capsicum annuum. RNAcentral describes it as "long non-coding RNA (CANN_LNC019427)". The record is from RNAcentral. Lineage: Eukaryota; Viridiplantae; Streptophyta; Magnoliopsida; Solanales; Solanaceae.